This 440-nucleotide ribosomal RNA is filed under the name uncultured bacterium. Its description in RNAcentral is "partial 16S ribosomal RNA". It matches the Rfam family "Bacterial small subunit ribosomal RNA", at positions 338 to 795 of the family's 1533-position model. The record is from RNAcentral.
CCUACGGGAGGCAGCAGUGGGGGAUAUUGCACAAUGGGGGGAACCCUGAUGCAGCGACGCCGCGUGGGUGAAGGAGCGUUUCGGCGCGUAAAGCCCUAUCGGCCGGGAAGCAGAUGACGGUACCCGACCAAGAAGCCGCGGCUAACUACGUGUCAGCAGCCGCGGUAACACGGAGGGAGCAACCGUUAUACGGAUUUACUGGGGGUAAAGGGGGCGCAGACGGCAAUGCAAGCCAGGAGUGAAAGCCCGGGGCCGAACCCCGGGACUGCUCUUGGAACUGCAAGGCUGGAGUGCGGGAGAGGCAGGCGGAAUGCGCGGUGUAGCGGUGAAAUGCGUAGAUAUUGGGAAGAACACCGGUGGCGAAGGCGGCCUGCUGGACUGAGACUGACGUUGAGGCCCGAAGGCGUGGGGAGCAAACAGGAUUAGAUACCCGAGUAGUC